This 552-nucleotide long non-coding RNA is filed under the name Malus domestica (apple). Its description in RNAcentral is "long non-coding RNA (MDOM_LNC016723)". The record is from RNAcentral. Lineage: Eukaryota; Viridiplantae; Streptophyta; Magnoliopsida; Rosales; Rosaceae.
CCUUUGCUAUGGUAAGUAUUUUCAUAUUAUAUGUGGUAUGUUAUAUUUGGAAACUAUACUUAUUUUACAAUGAGGGAUUAUUAAAAGGUUUUACAAAGCUUUAUUUUUAGGCCCACUCACCCUUGUUUUUCGCCCCUUCAGGUUUUAGUAGUAAAGCUUUUGUGUCAACGAGGAUUCUUGGCAAAUGUUGGUAUAAGAGAGUACAUUCGACGGUAUAUUUUUUAUCCUACUUUUACUCUACUUUACUUAUAUGCUCUGACAUCACAUGUGAAUUGGAUUCAAUCCAACUCUCAUGCGCACUCUUGCAUUUAUUCACUUUUAGGCUUAAAUUUAUUCGUAUUUCCUACAUCACUACACUAUAUGGCUUCGUCAACUUUAUGUUGUCGGCCAGCACAGUUCGAUUCGGAGUCCAGAUGAACAUUCUGGGUCGGAGUGUGUCACAAUGCCCUAGUAAACUUUCUCCGACCUACGACCAAGGCUCUGAUCAAGGUAUCGUCAUGAUGUGAAGACCCACAUCCUGGGCAAGAACGACGGCCUCGAUCGAGAUGUCUG